Molecule: ribosomal RNA, 253 nt
Filed under: uncultured bacterium
Lineage: Bacteria
Description: partial 16S ribosomal RNA
Rfam family: Bacterial small subunit ribosomal RNA
Source: RNAcentral
UACGAAGGGGGCUAGCGUUGCUCGGAAUGACUGGGCGUAAAGGGCGCGUAGGCGGAUGGCACAGUCAGAUGUGAAAUUCCUGGGCUUAACCUGGGGGCUGCAUUUGAUACGUGUUGUCUAGAGUGAGGAAGAGGGUUGUGGAAUUCCCAGUGUAGAGGUGAAAUUCGUAGAUAUUGGGAAGAACACCGGUGGCGAAGGCGGCAACCUGGUCCUUGACUGACGCUGAGGCGCGAAAGCGUGGGGAGCAAACAGG